GCACUGGUUCAGCGGUAGAAUUCUUGCCUUCCAUGCAGCAGACCCAGGUUCGAUUCCUGGCGGAUGCA
RNAcentral lists this transfer RNA (68 nucleotides) under Loxodonta africana (African savanna elephant). It matches the Rfam family "tRNA". From Rfam's summary of the family: Transfer RNA (tRNA) molecules are approximately 80 nucleotides in length. The record is from Rfam by way of RNAcentral. Lineage: Eukaryota; Metazoa; Chordata; Mammalia; Proboscidea; Elephantidae.